GACGAACGCUGGCGGCGUGCCUAAUACAUGCAAGUCGAGCGCAGGAAACUGACGGAACUCUUCGGAGGGAAGGCAGUGGAAUGAGCGGCGGACGGGUGAGUAACACGUAAGGAACCUGCCUCAAGGAUUGGGAUAACUCCGAGAAAUCGGAGCUAAUACCGGAUAGUUCAUCGGACCGCAUGGUCCGUUGAUGAAAGGCGCUUCGGCGUCACCUUGAGAUGGCCUUGCGGUGCAUUAGCUAGUUGGUGGGGUAGCGGCCCACCAAGGCGACGAUGCAUAGCCGACCUGAGAGGGUGAUCGGCCACACUGGGACUGAGACACGGCCCAGACUCCUACGGGAGGCAGCAGUAGGGAAUCUUCCACAAUGGACGAGAGUCUGAUGGAGCAACGCCGCGUGAGUGAUGAAGGUUUUCGGAUCGUAAAACUCUGUUGUAAGGGAAGAACACGUACGAGAGGGAAUGCUCGUACCUUGACGGUACCUUACGAGAAAGCCACGGCUAACUACGUGCCAGCCGCCGCGGUAA
RNAcentral lists this ribosomal RNA (524 nucleotides) under uncultured bacterium. RNAcentral's name for it is "partial 16S ribosomal RNA". It matches the Rfam family "Bacterial small subunit ribosomal RNA", at positions 28 to 523 of the family's 1533-position model. The record is from RNAcentral.